AAGCAGAGCCCGAGAACUUAACGACUCGGCCACGGGGCUGGCCCCGGAUUUGUUUUUGCCACUUACUAGAUGUGAACUCACCUAGAUCACUCUCUCGGGGAGAAGCCAGUUACCAUGUUAAACAGACACGCAAGCAGCGCUAUGGAGAGACUUAGAUGGUAAAGAACGGAGGCCUUCUGGUGACCACCAGAGAGGAACUGAGGCCUCCUGCAACAGCCUGGUGGAUGGGCCGUCUUAGAAAACGAUUCUUCAGCUCCAGUCAAGCCUCCAGAUAACUGAAGCCCAGGCUGUCACCUCGACUGUGACCCCGUGAGAGAAGCUGAGCCAGAACCACCCAGGCUCAUCUUAGCACUGAAUAAUAGCAGCUGUUGAAACAACCUCCACAGCUGAGACAGACGUGCAUUUCUGUGACAUAAAGCAAGAGGCCACAUUCUGACCUGCUCUGGUGAUGAAGAAAUGCUCUUGGAGUUGAGUGCCAGCCCAAUUUUACUGGUGUGGGACACAUCAUUGUGGAAUGGUGGCCGCAGCCAUUCGAUAUUUGAGAUUCCCUCUGGGAGCGAGGAGACGGAAGGGGAGCGUUUGAAGAGGCUGAAGGAGACCUGGAGAGAGAGGUGUCACAAAAGCCAAGUGAAGAGAGGGGCAACAGAAGGAAUGCCAAUUAUGAAAUUAGCCGAGAGUUUAGGCCCAAGAGGCCACUGGCCAAUUAGGGUCUCGCUGGUCAUCUUACAGAGAGCUUCCACCCAAGUCCUGGAGGGAAGAAGCCAGAAGGACAGGUAAAGGCAAAACGAUUGGAGCCCAGUAAUUAGGCUCUUCUAAAAAGAGCAUAAUUCUCUAAGUAGAGAAAGAGACUCAGAAGAGGCUGGAGCAGAUUAACAUAAGAUUAUUCACGAGACACCAAGGCUGGCAAUUUCCUUUCAUUUGUUUUAACCUGUGCUCUGGUCGGAGAGGCCAGUUUCUCUCCAUUUUGUUUCUGAUCUUUGUUUUCCUCUUCCCAUUGUUCUUCUGAGAAAACGAUUCUAUGGGUCUUUAUUAAUAAUUUAUUUUAUACCCUAAAUCAGAAAUAAGACGUUUCUUCAUUUUGCUGUGAAAAUUCCCAGUUCUUAAUAAAUUGUUGAAUUUUUCAUGAGACUCUGCCUUGGGGAAAACCUAUUCCAUGAUACAGUUCUUGAAUGAGAAACACAAAUGUAGACAAUUACAUAAUUAUAAGAAGACAAUUUUACCUCUCCUGUACGACAAUUUAAAUCCUUAGAACAUGACAUGAUUUCACUAAAAAAAAAAACGAGUCUCCUAACUCUCUGGUUCCUUGUUGUAUCUCAGAUCCAGGCAUAGUGCCUUGCACUCAACAAAUAUUCAUCAGUGAAUUAAAGACAUCACCCACUUGGUAUUAAUCACAUGUUGCUUUGUAUUGAAAAUGAAUAUGUUUAGAUCUCACUUCAAAUGAGUACGUUUCUUAAGUGACUAUGUUUAAGACUCCAUCACCAGAUUUUGGUAUCCCUGAGGUCAGGAUCUAUAAAUUUUCUCUCUUUGCAGCCCAGAUCUGGAAUUGCGUAGGUUCAACAAUGCUGCUUGAAUUGUGGAGCGAAUCACAUUAGCCAUAAAAUGGUAGCGCCUGUAUGUGUAUUUACAGCUAAUACUAACUAAAACCUUCCUGCAGGUUUUUUUGUGGGUCCCCUUUAUCGGGAUAAGGAUGCUGCCUUUUGGUCCUAGAUUGACAAAUUAAAAAAAAAAUGAAUGGUUGCUGAAUUUUAUCAAGUGUUCUUUCUAUAGGUGAUCAUGUUUUUUCUCCUUUAUUAACGUGGUAAAUGAUGUUAACUGUUUGCCUAGUGCUAAACUAAUCUUUACUUAUGGAAUAAAACUAACUUGGU
Equus asinus (donkey) is the source of this 1865-nucleotide long non-coding RNA. The record is from Ensembl. NCBI's taxonomy places the organism in Eukaryota, Metazoa, Chordata, Mammalia, Perissodactyla, Equidae.